GAUGAACGCUGGCGGCGUGCUUAACACAUGCAAGUCGAACGGGAAACCUUUUAUUGAAGCUUCGGCAGAUUUAGCUGGUUUCUAGUGGCGGACGGGUGAGUAACGCGUGGGUAACCUGCCUUAUACAGGGGGAUAACAGUCAGAAAUGGCUGCUAAUACCGCAUAAGCGCACAGAGCUGCAUGGCUCAGUGUGAAAAACUCCGGUGGUAUAAGAUGGACCCGCGUUGGAUUAGCUGGUUGGUGGGGUAACGGCCCACCAAGGCGACGAUCCAUAGCCGGCCUGAGAGGGUGAACGGCCACAUUGGGACUGAGACACGGCCCAGACUCCUACGGGAGGCAGCAGUGGGGAAUAUUGCACAAUGGGGGAAACCCUGAUGCAGCGACGCCGCGUGAAGGAAGAAGUAUCUCGGUAUGUAAACUUCUAUCAGCUGGGAAGAUAAUGACGGUACCUGACUAAGAAGCCCCGGCUAACUACGUG
Molecule: ribosomal RNA, 478 nt
Filed under: uncultured bacterium
Lineage: Bacteria
Description: partial 16S ribosomal RNA
Rfam family: Bacterial small subunit ribosomal RNA
Source: RNAcentral